RNAcentral lists this ribosomal RNA (255 nucleotides) under uncultured bacterium. RNAcentral describes it as "partial 16S ribosomal RNA". It matches the Rfam family "Bacterial small subunit ribosomal RNA", at positions 524 to 776 of the family's 1533-position model. The record is from RNAcentral.
UACAGAGGUCCCAAGCGUUGUUCGGAUUCACUGGGCGUAAAGGGUGCGUAGGUGGCCAGGUAAGUUCGGUGUGAAAAGCUCGGAGCUUAACUCCGAAAAUGGCAUUGAAUACUAUCUGGCUAGAGGGUCGGAGGGGAGACUGGAAUUCUCGGUGUAGCAGUGAAAUGCGUAGAUAUCGAGAGGAACACCAGUGGCGAAGGCGAGUCUCUGGACGACACCUGACACUGAGGCACGAAAGCGUGGGGAGCAAACAGG